This 492-nucleotide ribosomal RNA is filed under the name uncultured bacterium. RNAcentral describes it as "partial 16S ribosomal RNA". It matches the Rfam family "Bacterial small subunit ribosomal RNA", at positions 29 to 507 of the family's 1533-position model. The record is from RNAcentral.
AGUGAACGCUGGCGGUAGGCCUAACACAUGCAAGUCGAACGGCAGCACAGUAAGAGCUUGCUCUUACGGGUGGCGAGUGGCGGACGGGUGAGGAAUACAUCGGAAUCUACUUUUUCGUGGGGGAUAACGUAGGGAAACUUACGCUAAUACCGCAUACGACCUACGGGUGAAAGCAGGGGAUCUUCGGACCUUGCGCGAUUGAAUGAGCCGAUGUCGGAUUAGCUAGUUGGCGGGGUAAAGGCCCACCAAGGCGACGAUCCGUAGCUGGUCUGAGAGGAUGAUCGGCCACACUGGAACUGAGACACGGUCCAGACUCCUACGGGAGGCAGCAGUGGGGAAUAUUGGACAAUGGGCGCAAGCCUGAUUCAGCCAUACCGCGUGGGUGAAGAAGGCCUUCGGGUUGUAAAGCCCUUUUGUUGGGAAAGAAAAGCAGCAGGUUAAUACCCCGCUGUUCUGACGGUACCCAAAGAAUAAGCACCGGCUAACUUCGUG